AACUCGAUCGAUUGAGUGAGUGCGAUUGGCUGAGAGGAAAUUCUAAAUAUUGAACAAUCCUCGUUACGCCACAGAGAAUUCAAUUGAACGACCAAAACUCUUUAAGGGUAGGUAUUUAUACCUCUUUUAUGUCAGCCUCAAACCCUAACCGACAGAAGAGAAAAAAAAAAGAGGAAGGAGAGGAAUAAGGUUAAGCCGCUAUGCUAGAAGGGGAAAACUGAUAAGAACGAGCCAAUUCUUCCUCAUUUCUUUUAUAUUUUCUUUCUAGGUUAGAUUUUAUUGAUUGUUCUAUACACUUGCAGUGUAGCAUCCAGGAGAGAGAGGGAUGACACGAUGGGAGGUCAGGACAAAGACCUUCUGCCGCAAAGGGAGAGAGGCAGCUGAGAACGGGAGAAAAGGGAUAGAGAGAGAGAGAUUCGAUAGAUAAGAAAAAGAAAAAACAUUGGGGAGAGAGAAAGAGAGAAAAAGAGGGAUGCAAUAGAGAAAGAAGAAAAAUAAAAAUAAAAAGAAGAAGACUAGCGCGGAGUGCAAUGGUCCAGCAAAGCAGAGAGGUUACAAUGGCCGAACCAGAGCGGAUCUGUUCCUUGUGUGACCAAAUCUUUGCAAGGAAGAAGGCACGACAGACUGGCAUGCACAACAACGAUGGAUGUGUGCGGGUUUUCCCAGAUAUGUGCACGGUAGAAGAAGUCUCUGCAUGCUAUGGAAGCUUGGUGGCUUUGCGAGAUUUACUCUGCAAUUGAACAUGUUGCAAUCCCGUGGCGAAUUUCAACCAACAUGCAGUGGUGCAUGUGCUAGCACAUGGUGACUCCAGCGAUGAGGACUGCAUGUCCAAGAGAGAACCAUAUACCAUAACCUAGUGUCAGAAGAAGAGGGUGCGUGUGUAAUAAUGAUAUAUGUGGUGAACUUACUUGGAAAGUUCAAUGUCGGACGGGGCUAGGAAAGAAUUUAGUGGUGCCCAUAGCGGCCGAGGUAAUGGGAGCAGCCGACGAUUGUGGCACUCAUACCGGACGAGGUAUUAGGAUGACUGAUGAUUGUGGCUCUCAUACCGGACGAGAUGUGAGGACGAUCGAUGAUUGUGCCACUCAUGCCAGAUGGAGUAUGGAGAUGGCUGAUGAUUGUCAAUGAAUAUGAUUUGUUAUGAAAUAUUUCGUGUAUUCACAUAUAGAGAGAAUCCCUAUGGACUAAUAAUGAUAUUGGUAAAAAAAAGAGUAUCGCAUGAUGAAAUAUAAAAGUAACUAAAAUUUAAUUCUUUAGUGAAAAAAAAGGUAAUUGAUUUGAUAUGUGCAUUAUACUUGGAUACAAAUAUGAUCUGAUAACACUUAUUAUUGGGAAUAAAAAUUGUCUGAAUA
Long non-coding RNA from Carica papaya (papaya), 1349 nucleotides. RefSeq lists it as uncharacterized. Lineage: Eukaryota; Viridiplantae; Streptophyta; Magnoliopsida; Brassicales; Caricaceae. The record is from RefSeq and is a predicted model, not a curated record.